GUGUAAAAGCCACAGGGCAGCACAGAUACUAGAAUUGGAACGAUACAGAGAUUAGCAUGGUCCCUGUGCAAAGAGGACAUGCAAAUCAUGAAUGCUUUCAUAUUUGG
Molecule: small nuclear RNA, 107 nt
Organism: Ictidomys tridecemlineatus (thirteen-lined ground squirrel)
Lineage: Eukaryota; Metazoa; Chordata; Mammalia; Rodentia; Sciuridae
Source: Ensembl